This 253-nucleotide ribosomal RNA is filed under the name uncultured bacterium. Its description in RNAcentral is "partial 16S ribosomal RNA". It matches the Rfam family "Bacterial small subunit ribosomal RNA", at positions 524 to 776 of the family's 1533-position model. The record is from RNAcentral.
GACGUAGGAGGCGAGCGUUGUCCGGAGUUACUGGGCGUAAAGGGCGCGCAGGCGGCCCGGUGCGCCGGGGGUGAAAGGCGGUGGCUCAACCACCGGACGGCCCCCGGGACGGCCGGGCUGGAGGGUGGCAGAGGUCGGUGGAAUUCCCGGUGUAGUGGUGAAAUGCGUAGAGACCGGGAGGAACACCCGCGGCGAAGGCGGCCGGCUGGGCCAACCCUGACGCUGAGGCGCGAAGGCCCGGGGAGCGAACGGG